CCUACGGGCGGCAGCAGUGAGGAAUAUUGGUCAAUGGACGAGAGUCUGAACCAGCCAAGUAGCGUGAAGGAUGACUGCCCUAUGGGUUGUAAACUUCUUUUAUAUGGGAAUAAAAUGUUUCACGUGUGGGAUUUUGUAUGUACCAUAUGAAUAAGGAUCGGCUAACUCCGUGCCAGCAGCCGCGGUAAUACGGAGGGACCGAGCGUUAUCCGGAUUUAUUGGGUUUAAAGGGAGCGUAGGGGGAAUGUUAAGUCAGUCGUGAAAGUUUGUGGCUCAACCGUGAAAUUGCAGUUGAAACUGGCAGUCUUGAGUGCACUAGAGGUGGGCGGAAUUCGUGGUGUAGCGGUGAAAUGCUUAGAUAUCACGAAGAACUCCGAUUGCGAAGGCAGCACACUGGAGCGCAACUGACGCUGAGGCUCGAAAGUGUGGGUAUCGAACAGGAUUAGAUACCCUUGUAGUC
Molecule: ribosomal RNA, 460 nt
Filed under: uncultured bacterium
Lineage: Bacteria
Description: partial 16S ribosomal RNA
Rfam family: Bacterial small subunit ribosomal RNA
Source: RNAcentral